GAUGAAGAACGUAGCGAAAUGCGAUACGUAAUGUGAAUUGCAGAAUUCAGUGAAUCAUCGAAUCUUUGAACGCACAUUGCGCCUGCCAGCACUCUGGCAGGCAUGCCUGUUCGAGCGUCAUUUCAACCAUCAAGCCCUAGGCUUGCGUUGGAGCCCUGCGGCUGCCGCAGGCCCCUAAAAGCAGUGGCGGGCUCGCUAUCACACCGAGUGCAGUAGAUUACUCUUCGCUCAGGGCGUGUGGCGGGUUCCAGCCGUGAAACCCCCUACUUCUCAAGGUUGACCUCGGAUCAGGUAGGAAUACCCGCUGAAUUUAAGCAUAUCAAUAAGCGGAGGA
Molecule: unclassified non-coding RNA, 334 nt
Filed under: soil metagenome
Description: partial contains 5.8S ribosomal RNA, internal transcribed spacer 2, and large subunit ribosomal RNA
Rfam family: 5.8S ribosomal RNA (bases 1-120)
Source: RNAcentral